RNAcentral lists this ribosomal RNA (260 nucleotides) under uncultured bacterium. Its description in RNAcentral is "partial 16S ribosomal RNA". It matches the Rfam family "Bacterial small subunit ribosomal RNA", at positions 524 to 777 of the family's 1533-position model. The record is from RNAcentral.
GACGUAGGGGGCAAGCGUUGUCCGGAAUUAUUGGGCGUAAAGCGCUCGUAAGGCGGAUCGGGUAAGUCUGUGAAGAAAGACCCGGGCUCAACUCGGGGAACGGCAUAGAUUACUGCUGAUCUUGAGACAGUCAGAGGAUGAUGGGAAUUCCAGGUGUAGACGGUGAAUGCGUAGAUAUCUGGAGGAACACCAGUGGCGAAGGCGAUCAUCUGGGGCUGUUCUGACGCUGAGGAGCGAAAGCUGAAGGGGAGCAAACGGGG